UUAGAUCUUUGUAAACAUUGAAAUUUCGGUAAAAUAAAUAUCGACAAUUGUAUUAAAAUUACAACCUCCAUUCAUUUCACCUACAUCAUACACUCACCUCACCUACAAUGUCCACUCAAUUCACCUACAACAAUCCAUCAAAUCCACCUACAACAUCCACCAAAACAAAAGGAUGGUGGUAAUUCAUUCUCAAAGCCUAUAAAUAGGCAUCUCCAUCAAAAUCAUGGGAGAGGAAAUUGACAUACAUUUUUUCUCUACUCUCAAGCAAAUCCCAAAUGAUCAAGAAAACCCUCUUCGUUAUUCGUGAAAUCCUCCUUCAAGAUCAAGCCCCAACGGCCCUUGAAGAACUUCCACCAAUUCAAGAUCAAGCCCCGACGGCCCUUGAAGAAAGUGUUCAUCAUUCAUCAAUCAUUCAUCCAGGAUCAAGCCCUGACGGCCCCUUGGAUCAACAACACAAUCCACAAAUUUACACAUUACAAAGAUCGAAUCAGAGGCUAAAUUUGUAGAAGAGAUUGUAACCCUUAAAUCAUUCAUACAAAUAUUAUUUUGUACACGUGUUUCUUAUCUCAUUCAUCGCAGGAAUUCCUGUGUUUACAAUCUUAAUUUUUAUAUUUUUUUAUUGAAAAUCAAAAUGUUUAAAAAAUUCAAAAUAUCUGAUACUUCGAUGCACCAUAAAAAAUCUCUUUACUCUAAUCCCUAUCCAUAUCGAACCAUCCGACGAGGCAUGUCAUUUUCUUUCUUACAACCUCUUUUAAGUUUUCAAGUUACACAUAGGCCCGCCCGUUUGAUACCACCCCAAAACAAAACAUACAUCUCGUUGUGGACCUUGUAGGGUUUAAUGUGAAAGGUAUAACUAAUUAUCUCGAGAAUUUGAUGCAUCACGUAACUUACUGAUGUGAUUCAUAAACUUUAUCAAAAUUAUAGUACGUAUGCAAACAAAAUUUCAAUGAACCCAAGAUUUGGGAACUAAGUUAUAAUUCAAAUAUAUUAUUAUCUCAAGCGGUGAAUCAGAUACACGCAAUAAUUUGUCGAUGAACAAGUGAGGUGACGGAGAACCCUCUAGGAAAAGUGGUCAACUCGUUUAGAAAGCCAUCGGCGACUUUGGUAAUGUCUAAUCUACCCUUGGAUGAUGCCAGAAGGGUCACCAACACUUGGGUUGUGGGCAAUACCCUUGGAUGCUGCCAAAAGGGUUCAAAGCCACCUGGGUUGUGGGCAAGGAUAUCACGGAUGAGCAAAUAGGCAGGUUGCUGCCAAGCAAGAUCACACCAAUAAACCUAACAGAUUUCUGGAUUUAACCACAUAUUUCGACAUCACAAACGUCAUUGAUCUUACCCUUUCCCUUGCUCAGCUCUGCCUAGUAGCUAAGGAUCCACCCAAAACAUACGUUUGUUUUCAGAGAAAGACAUGUCACCUAUCUUAUCAUCUUCUGCAUUGGAGAUGGCAAACUUCUUGGAUGGCAUAGCCACACUAAGGUCUGGUUUGGUACUGAAAUGAUUCUAAAAAAAAUGGGUAUCAAAAAAAAGCUGGCAGCUUUUUUGUGUUUAGUAAACAUUCAACCUUGGAUUUUUUUCACAAUUUUGGAUGAAAAAAAAAGCCAAAAACACAAAGCUGCAAAACCCAGCUUUGAAAAACAGACUUUUUUUCACAUUUGUUUUACAUAAAAGUUUACCAAACACUAUAAUACUACUUUUUUUUUUUCAAAAGCACUUUUAUAAAAAAGUUUACCAAACACUCUGCUACUUUAUUUCACAACUGCUUAUUCUCACAGCACAGCAGAAGUAGUUUUUUUUUUCAAAGCACAAUAAUACCAAACCAACCCUAAGCCCUGGUUUGGUAUCGUGUGCUUCUAAAAAAAGUGGAUAUGAAAAAAAGCUGGGAGCUUUUUUAUGUUUGGUAAACAUUCAACUUCAGUUUUUUUUUCCACAGUUUUGGGUGAAAAAAAGCCAAAAACACAAAGCUGCAAAACCCAACUUUGAAAAACCGGUUUUUUUUCACAGCUGCUUAUUUUCAUAGCACAGUAGAAACAAUUUUUUUUCUUUUCAAAACACAGUAAUACCAAACCAACCCUAAAAGCUAUGGUGGGCUGUAGCCCAGGAAGAAUUUGUAGCAACAUGUAUAUAUACUUUAGUGUGUAGUCUAAUAGACAAAAAAAUGUGUAAGAAUAAUUAUUUUUAAUGAAACUAGCCCAAUGAGUAUUUAGCACAACUAAAAAUAUACAAAUUACCAUGAAAUAAAAUUUUGUUCAAGAUUAUUUUGCUUUGAUACAAUGGGGUUUAUAUUAGUUUUAACCAAUUUUUUAAGAUUUUUUUUUGUCGAAACAAUUUUUUAAGAUUGUCUUUACUUCUCCUUUCAGUGUUUUGCUUUGUGCUAGUUGUGUGGUUAUAAUUCAGAUAUCAAGUUUUCUAUUUUCUUCUUGUGUUUAAAUCUAAAUAUAUGUGAAAUUUGAUGAUUCAUUGUAAUUUUGUUAGUUUGCAAUUGCAAAGCUUAUUGAGUUCCGAUCAGGUAAAUUUUAAGUAUACAAAUACAUAAGUUAAACUUAAAUUUUUGCAUACAAUAUGUAUGUAGAAAAAAAAAAGAAUAGAUUUUUGGGUAAUUUUUUAGCUAGCCCACGCUUAGAGUAUUUACUGGCUUCGCCUUGAGCACGGUCCACCGUUAACAUCACCAAUAUUAUCUCUAACUUAAUCACUUACUAUUAUGUAUGUGGUUUUAUGAUAGAAAGCCUCAGUUGUCAUACUCCGAAAGUUUAAUAUCGAGGCGUGACUAAAAUUGUGAAUCAAUUACUGGUUUAUUACUGACCGUGAAAAUGUUCAAAACAUCCAAUGAUAGCUUUUACACACAAUUUCAAUUAAAUUACCUUGUGCAUGCAUACAUCUUAUUAAAUCCUCACUUAAUUAAAAGUAUAGAUUAUAGUGACAACUCAACCAACAUGCAACAUGAACUAGAGCUCCAGUUGCUUCAAUGUAUCCUCGAUCUCCAAAUUAAGUCUUCAAUACUUACAAUUAACUCAAUCUAUAGCUCUGUAAAGCGGAGUAGAAUUUUCUCCUUUCCUAUCUCUUUUUCUUCCCUCUUCUCACAUUUUGUUUUUUGUUCUUAUAAAAAAUUAAUAUAAAAUAUUGAUACGGUUUAAUCGUAACUUUUCAAGUAGGAGAAAAAGGAAGAGGAGAGAGAUUAAGAGGGAAGUUAAGCCUCCUGCCUGUAGAGCACCCCCAUGAGUCCCAUUAGAACACACUAGCGCAAUUGGUCUGUGAUUAGGAGGCUGAAAUCAAAGACUCUAAGGGGCCCAUAAUUCACCAGCUUCCCUUCCUUUUCUCUCUUUUUUUUCUUUGGCUUAAUCGUAGGAAUGAUCCUUGAUACCGUAGUUUAGUUUUAGUCCUUGAAUUCUUAUAUUAAUUUCUUUAGUCUUCAAUGACAUGCUCUGAUCCGGAAUGUCCACUUGGACUCCAAAUCGAGUUGUGCUGGUCGACAUCCGAAUGGUGACGAAGCCAUAAAGUGUAGUGAUGUGGAAAAUGUGAAUAAAUUUAAACCUAAAGAUGCCUAAAUAUAAAAGUGCACUGUGAGAGGGAAUGAAUCCAUUUCACUCGUGAUGUCAGAACAUAAGCAUAGUACAGUAACAUAGGGUGAAAAUUAUACCAUCAGGGGUAAUAGUCUACAACAAGAUUUGCCAAGAAUCCUCCUCGAUAUGAAAGCUGAGCUGCUAAAACCUAGAGGGGCGCAAAAGAAGGGUGAAUGGACCUAAAAAUAAAGUUUUAAUAAAAACCUUUUGAAAACUUUAUAACCCCUCGCUGUAAAACAAAUAUAGUUUCCAAAAUAUACAUAUUAAUAGUAUAAAAAUACUUACCAUAACCAACAAUAUUUCAAGGAUUCCAUACGUCACAACUUUCGUAAAUAAGUACAUGACGUCCGUAAUCACAUAUUUUCGUCUAAAUAAACAUAUCACAUCGAAUGCUCAUCGAUAGAUGCUAACACACGAGUUCAUGUACAGGUAUUUUGACAUGAACAUGAUUGUGUGUAAUAAUGAUAUACGCUCUAGUACUACAAUCACGUGAAGACUGACGCUAUGCUCACCACAGACGAGUUCUAAUUGCCUAUAGCAAUCUAGGAUAGAACUAGCACCUACAAUGGAUCCAAGUGUGAGCGUACAAUGCGAUGUGUACAUACACGUGAAAGACUGGCUCUGGUCCAGAUGAGUACUAACACCGAUGCAGCAAUGAUAAACAAAUAACUUAAAUAUAAUCAUACCACAGCAACUCAACAAUUCUAGUCAUUAUAAUACUAUUCAUAACCAUAAAUAUAAUUAAGGGAACUUUAACCAAAAGCUACUGAUACUGUUCACUUUAACGAAAAACCAUAUUUUUACACUAAAAAGUCAAUCAUGGUAUUAUUCACUUUAUUCUUUAUUUUGUCCUUAUCGUUGAAACUCAAAGUUUCCAAACCUUUUUCAUUAGUUUUUCUUAUAAUUAAGACAUCUCCUUAAUAAUAAGUUUACAUGUGUAUCCUGUAGGAUUAUUUCAUCAUUUCCCAACAAUAAGGCAUUUCUUAUAAAUAUUAAUUUAUCAUGGCAAUCACUUAGAGAAUUUAUUAAUAAUUGUAUAUAUAGAAACUAACCAAUAUAUAUAUAUAUAUAUAUAUAUAUAUAUAUAUAUAUAUAUAUAUAAAAAGAAAAGAUCCACUCACAGAUUAUAUCAUCUAGUCGAAGAUGUUCGAACUAAGAAAGCUGGAGUCAUCGAUAAUAAUCGUACCUAAGCAUAAUAUUAAGAUCCAAUAGUAAAACUCCACUGAGACAAUUAAAUUUAGGGAAACAGAGUGCAGAUUUAGAAUCAAGGUGUCGAAAUACACUAAGGAAGGUCCCUAGCAAAUUUUACAAAAAAUCAAUGGUUAACCCUAAAAAGUCAUAUGAGUCGGCCCAACGGUCAACUACGUUAAAACUUUGAAAUUUCACUAAAUGGAUGCCACAAAUAGACUCGGGGCGUAGAAAUUAGCCUGAGAGGUUUCCGAGAAAUUUUGAAAAUGACAAUAUAAAAUAUAUUCUAGGAAAUUCCAGGUCUAAUUAGGAAUUGGGCCUGCCGGAUCCUGGGUCAACGGCCCAAUGAUUUGGGCCAGCUUGGGCUUGGGCCCUUUUUUUUUUCCUUCUCUCUUCUCCGGCCGGUUGCCAUUGCAACCACCGGAAUCUGGGCAACUUAGCCAGAAAACUUUCCCGGCUCCUCCUAGCUUCGAUACUCAACUAAAACUAGCAAUCUAACAUACCAAUUUGAAGCCCAAAAGGAGAGGAAGAGAAAUAUACCAUCACGGGGUCCUGACGUGGCCGGAAAACGGCUCGAAGCCGCCGGAUCUCCGUCGGAAAACUGGAAAACUUUCCCCGCGUUGUUUCCUGCGCCAACUCCUACCAAAAACCUUAGAAAAAGCUAGAAAAUACAACCCAAAACAUGAUCCACCAAGUUUUAAGUUGUUUUCGAGACUCACCACCGUUGGAAAGUUAACCAACCAAAACUGGGUGCACGGCGUGGGUUCGAAUUGAAGGUUCGUUCUUGCUUUUUUUGUUUAAAGUCGUGGAGAGGGGCUAAAUGGCGCCGUUGAGGGUGUUUGGUUGUCGACAAGAUUCGUCGAAGAAUGGCGAUGUGCUCUCGGCGUCAAGUUUGCAGAGGGAAGAGAGGGAGAGAGGGAGAGAGGGAGAGAGCGAGAGAGGGUUAGAGUGAGAGAGUGCCG
RNAcentral lists this long non-coding RNA (5703 nucleotides) under Malus domestica (apple). RNAcentral's name for it is "long non-coding RNA (MDOM_LNC017742)". The record is from RNAcentral. Lineage: Eukaryota; Viridiplantae; Streptophyta; Magnoliopsida; Rosales; Rosaceae.